Molecule: ribosomal RNA, 440 nt
Filed under: uncultured bacterium
Lineage: Bacteria
Description: partial 16S ribosomal RNA
Rfam family: Bacterial small subunit ribosomal RNA
Source: RNAcentral
CCUACGGGAGGCUGCAGUGGGGAAUAUUGCACAAUGGGGGAAACCCUGAUGCAGCGACGCCGCGUGAGUGAGGAAGUAUUUCGGUACGUAAAGCUCUAUCAGCAGGGAAGAAAAUGACGGUACCUGACUAAGAAGCCCCGGCUAACUACGUGCCAGCAGCCGCGGUAAUACGUAGGGGGCAAGCGUUAUCAGGAUUUACUGGGUGUAAAGGGAGCGUAGACGGUUAAUCAAGUCAGAAGUGAAAACCCAGGGCUCAACCUUGGGACUGCUUUUGAAACUGAGUAGCUAGAGUGCAGUAGAGGUAAGCGGAAUUCCUAGUGUAGCGGUGAAAUGCGUAGAUAUUAGGAGGAACACCAGUGGCGAAGGCGGCUUACUGGACUGUAACUGACGUUGAGGCUCGAAAGCGUGGGGAGCAAACAGGAUUAGAUACCCUUGUAGUC